GGGCCGGUAGCUCAGUGGUAGAGCGAAGGAUUGCAAAUCCUUAGGUCUCGUGUUCGAACCACGAUCGGCCCU
This 72-nucleotide transfer RNA is filed under the name Pyricularia oryzae 70-15. RNAcentral's name for it is "tRNA-Cys (GCA) (tRNA-Cys-GCA-1-1)". It matches the Rfam family "tRNA". From Rfam's summary of the family: Transfer RNA (tRNA) molecules are approximately 80 nucleotides in length. Their secondary structure includes four short double-helical elements and three loops (D, anti-codon, and T loops). RNAcentral also lists the same sequence under 4 other names. The record is from RNAcentral. Lineage: Eukaryota; Fungi; Ascomycota; Sordariomycetes; Magnaporthales; Pyriculariaceae.